Molecule: ribosomal RNA, 777 nt
Filed under: uncultured Neocallimastigales
Lineage: Eukaryota; Fungi; Neocallimastigomycota; Neocallimastigomycetes; Neocallimastigales
Description: partial large subunit ribosomal RNA
Rfam family: Eukaryotic large subunit ribosomal RNA
Source: RNAcentral
GUACACGCUGUGACUAGCAUAUCAAUAAGCGGAGGAAAAGAAACUAACAAGGAUUCCCCUAGUAACGGCGAGUGAAGCGGGAAGAGCUCAAAUUUGAAAUCUUAAAGGGUUUCCCUUUACGAAUUGUAGUUUAAAGAAGUGUUUUCUGUUGAGGUUUUGGUAAAAGUUCUUUGGAAUAGGACAUCAUAGAGGGUGAGAAUCCCGUAUUUGACCUUUACUUUCAACUUUGUGAUACACUUUCAAAGAGUCGGAUUGUUUGGGAAUGCAGUCCAAAAUGGGUGGUAAAUUUCAUCUAAAGCCUAAAUAUUGGCGAGAGACCGAUAGCGAACAAGUAGCCGUGAGGGAAAGAUGAAAAGAACUUUGAAAAGAGAGUUAAACAGUACGUGAAAUUGUCAAAAGGGAAGCGUUUGACACCAGUGUUGUUUUUCUGAAAAUCAAUUAAAGAACUGUUUAUGCUAAGCUUGUUUAGACUUUAUCAGCUAUCUGUUUAGUUUUGAGCUUUUCUUUAAUGCACUUUUCAGUUAACAAGUCAACAUCAAUUUCUUUUGCUGUAAAAAAGCUUGAGGAAGGUGGCUUGAGAUUCGUCUUAAGUGUUUAUAGCCUCUUGCCUAUGCAGUCGGAGAGAUUGAGGUCUGCAGCGUAGAUCCUUCGGGGCUAAAUGCAUUUGUGCUAAGUUAUAGCAUUUUAUAGACAACUUGUUGACUAUGAUUUGUCUUGUAGCUUACUCGCUUAUGUUAUUUUACCUACGCUUAGGAUGUUGAAGAUGUAGCACAUCAU